UAAUUUUUUCUAUUAGGGAUAAGCUUAAUAGAAUUUCUUUAAAUAAAAAUUAUUUAUUUAAAUAAGGAAUAAAAUUUUCUAAGUUUUUUUGUAAAAAAUUUUUUUAUUAUUCAAGUUAUGUAAGAUUUUUAUAUGAUUAAAUUAAUUUUUUUUUUAAUAAAAUUAUUAAAAAAUUAGUAAAUUUAAAAAAAAAGUAAUGAAAAAUUAAAAUAUAUUAAUAAAAUGAAAAUUUAAUUAUAGUAAUUCGGCAAAUUAAUUUAAUUGACUGUUUAUCAAAAACAUUUCAUCUUGAAAAGUAAUAAGAUGUAUAAUCUGCUCAAUGAUUUUUUAAAUUGCUGUGGUAUUUUGACUAUACAAAGGUAUUGAAAUAAGAUUUUAAAUGAGUGCUAAGAGAAUGAUUAAACAAUUAAAAGCUUUCUUUAAUUAAAAAAUUAAAUUUAAUUUUUUUAGUGCAAAAGCAAAAAUAAAAUUUAGGGACAAGAAGACCCUAUGAAUUUUUAUUGUUAAUAAUUAAAAUUUAAGUUAUUAAUAAUUUAAUUGGGGCGAUAAAAAAAGAAUAAGUAUCUUUUUAGUUAUAAAAUAAGUUCCGUUUUUAGCGAUUAAAUGAAAUAAAUACUCUAGGGAUAACAGCGUAAUAAUUUUGGAUAGUUCAUAUAGAUAAAAUAGUUUGUGACCUCGAUGUUGGAUUAGGAUUC
RNAcentral lists this ribosomal RNA (695 nucleotides) under Ixodes scapularis (black-legged tick). RNAcentral's name for it is "partial 16S ribosomal RNA". The record is from RNAcentral. Lineage: Eukaryota; Metazoa; Arthropoda; Arachnida; Ixodida; Ixodidae.